CUGCCCUUAAGUGGGGGAUAACAUUUGGAAACAGAUGCUAAUACCGCAUAGAUCCAAGAACCGCAUGGUUCUUGGCUGAAAGAUGGCGUAAGCUAUCGCUUUUGGAUGGACCCGCGGCGUAUUAGCUAGUUGGUGAGGUAAUGGCUCACCAAGGCGAUGAUACGUAGCCGAACUGAGAGGUUGAUCGGCCACAUUGGGACUGAGACACGGCCCAAACUCCUACGGGAGGCAGCAGUAGGGAAUCUUCCACAAUGGACGCAAGUCUGAUGGAGCAACGCCGCGUGAGUGAAGAAGGCUUUCGGGUCGUAAAACUCUGUUGUUGGAGAAGAAUGGUCGGCAGAGUAACUGUUGUCGGCGUGACGGUAUCCAACCAGAAAGCCACGGCUAACUACGUGCCAGCAGCCGCGGUAAUACGUAGGUGGCAAGCGUUAUCCGGAUUUAUUGGGCGUAAAGCGAGCGCAGGCGGUUUUUUAAGUCUGAUGUGAAAGCCCUCGGCUUAACCGAGGAAGCGCAUCGGAAACUGGGAAACUUGAGUGCAGAAGAGGACAGUGGAACUCCAUGUGUAGCGGUGAAAUGCGUAGAUAUAUGGAAGAACACCAGUGGCGAAGGCGGCUGUCUGGUCUGUAACUGACGCUGAGGCUCGAAAGCAUGGGUAGCGAACAGGAUUAGAUACCCUGGUAGUCCAUGCCGUAAACGAUGAAUGCUAGGUGUUGGAGGGUUUCCGCCCUUCAGUGCCGCAGCUAACGCAUUAAGCAUUCCGCCUGGGGAGUACGACCGCAAGGUUGAAACUCAAAGGAAUUGACGGGGGCCCGCACAAGCGGUGGAGCAUGUGGUUUAAUUCGAAGCAACGCGAAGAACCUUACCAGGUCUUGACAUCUUUUGAUCACCUGAGAGAUCAGGUUUCCCCUUCGGGGGCAAAAUGACAGGUGGUGCAUGGUUGUCGUCAGCUCGUGUCGUGAGAUGUUGGGUUAAGUCCCGCAACGAGCGCAACCCUUAUGACUAGUUGCCAGCAUUUAGUUGGGCACUCUAGUAAGACUGCCGGUGACAAACCGGAGGAAGGUGGGGAUGACGUCAAAUCAUCAUGCCCCUUAUGACCUGGGCUACACACGUGCUACAAUGGAUGGUACAACGAGUUGCGAGACCGCGAGGUCAAGCUAAUCUCUUAAAGCCAUUCUCAGUUCGGACUGUAGGCUGCAACUCGCCUACACGAAGUCGGAAUCGCUAGUAAUCGCGGAUCAGCACGCCGCGGUGA
This 1252-nucleotide ribosomal RNA is filed under the name Lacticaseibacillus paracasei subsp. tolerans. RNAcentral describes it as "bacterial SSU rRNA". It matches the Rfam family "Bacterial small subunit ribosomal RNA", at positions 126 to 1365 of the family's 1533-position model. Lineage: Bacteria; Bacillati; Bacillota; Bacilli; Lactobacillales; Lactobacillaceae. The record is from RNAcentral.